AGAACGAACGCUGGCGGCAUGCCUAACACAUGCAAGUCGAACGCUUUUGGGGCUUCGGUCCCAAAGGAGUGGCGCACGGGUGAGUAGCGCGUGGGAACCUGCCCUGGAGUGGGGGAUAACCGAGGGAAACUUCGGCUAAUACCGCAUACGCCGGGAAACCGGGAAAGAUUUAUCGCUCUAGGAGGGGCCCGCGUCGGAUUAGGUAGUUGGUGGGGUAACGGCCUACCAAGCCUGUGAUCCGUAGCUGGUCUGAGAGGAUGAUCAGCCACACUGGGACUGAGACACGGCCCAGACUCCUACGGGAGGCAGCAGUGGGGAAUAUUGGACAAUGGCGCAAGCCUGAUCCAGCAAUGCCGCGUGAGUGAUGAAGGCCUUCGGGUUGUAAAGCUCUUUCGCACGCGAGGAUGAUGACGCUAGCGUGAGAAGAAGCCCCGGCUAACUUCGUGCCAGCAGCCGC
This 457-nucleotide ribosomal RNA is filed under the name uncultured bacterium. RNAcentral describes it as "SSU rRNA". It matches the Rfam family "Bacterial small subunit ribosomal RNA", at positions 26 to 518 of the family's 1533-position model. The record is from RNAcentral.